Molecule: transfer-messenger RNA, 352 nt
Filed under: Schwartzia succinivorans
Lineage: Bacteria; Bacillati; Bacillota; Negativicutes; Selenomonadales; Selenomonadaceae
Also listed under: 1 other name
Description: Standard tmRNA
Rfam family: transfer-messenger RNA
About the family: Bacterial tmRNA, also known as 10Sa RNA or SsrA, is named for its dual tRNA and mRNA-like properties. Its role is to liberate the mRNA from a stalled ribosome.
Source: RNAcentral
GGGGAUGUAAUGGUCUCGACGGGGGCAGUCGGAGCAUGGGCAGCGAGCCGGGGGGUCAUCAUCCCGUCAGUAAGGUGAAACUUUUAUAUUAAAUAUAAAAGCAAACGAAGAUUACGCUUUAGCAGCUUAAUGCUAACCUCUGCUUAUCUGAUUCCGCGCGGAUGGGACAGAGGCCAAACGCGGAAUUACUGAGAGCCAAUUCUCGGAGGCUUCUCGGGACACUUUUAUCGAGAUCGGGAUUUUCGAGCCUGCUCACGGGCGCCUGAAUCCUUAAACUGUACAUGAGCUUCGCUCGGAGAAACCCUUGAUACGACGCUUUCGGACAGGAGUUCGAUUCUCCUCAUCUCCACCA